GUAUGAUUGCCUAAAUAUGAUAGCAAAGGAUAUGAUUGAGAUAAUAAUUUGGGGGGUGAAGAGUUGUGAUUUCUAUCAAACCUUGCAACCUCACAGACCCAAAAUAAAUUGAGCAAAUCAGCAAUGGUGAUAAAAUAGAAGCUGAACCUGGUGGGAAAAAAAGAAAAGAAACACAUGAGUGUCGUCAAACAAGAAGAAAACCCAAUAAACAAGUGGCUAAGCAACAAGAAUCAAUCUUUCUCCAUAUCAUCCAAACAUGUAAGCUGUUAGAUAAGAAUUUACAAAGCACAGUAAUAAGACCAAAACAGUCCAACAGAAAUUCACGGUUGAUCCGUCCAAAUCCAGUGGACAUAGAAGGCAGGGAGAAACAAAGACAACGUAAGGAUCGAUCGAGACAGCGAUCGUCCAAAAGGUAAAAGGUCGCAACGAAGCAUUAGAUGGACAUGUAUGAGAGCCUCGCGCACAGGGAAGACUAAAAGAUGGAUCGUGACAAAUGGGUAUCGAUCUAACGCUUGUUCUUACCAACAAAACCCAACAUCAAACAAUAUCGAGACAAAACAAGACAAGACAAGCGGUAAUAACGAAUAUAUAUAGCAAAAGAAGAAAGAAAAAAAUAGGUACCAAAGACCAAAGUUGAUUAUGGAUGACUGCCUUCGUACCUCUCCCUCGAAAGUGAGCUUCGGUUGGUCUGGUCGGUUGUGCCAAGGUGGGGAAUUCGUGGCAGCGAGGCGCGGAGGAGAG
RNAcentral lists this long non-coding RNA (741 nucleotides) under Zostera marina. RNAcentral's name for it is "long non-coding RNA (ZMAR_LNC004809)". The record is from RNAcentral. Lineage: Eukaryota; Viridiplantae; Streptophyta; Magnoliopsida; Alismatales; Zosteraceae.